Molecule: ribosomal RNA, 582 nt
Filed under: uncultured bacterium
Lineage: Bacteria
Description: partial 16S ribosomal RNA
Rfam family: Bacterial small subunit ribosomal RNA
Source: RNAcentral
UGGGGAAUUUUGGACAAUGGGCGAAAGCCUGAUCCAGCAAUGCCGCGUGUGUGAAGAAGGCCUUCGGGUUGUAAAGCACUUUUGUCCGGAAAGAAAUCCUUGGCUCUAAUACAGUCGGGGGAUGACGGUACCGGAAGAAUAAGCACCGGCUAACUACGUGCCAGCAGCCGCGGUAAUACGUAGGGUGCAAGCGUUAAUCGGAAUUACUGGGCGUAAAGCGUGCGCAGGCGGUUUGCUAAGACCGAUGUGAAAUCCCCGGGCUCAACCUGGGAACUGCAUUGGUGACUGGCAGGCUAGAGUAUGGCAGAGGGGGGUAGAAUUCCACGUGUAGCAGUGAAAUGCGUAGAGAUGUGGAGGAAUACCGAUGGCGAAGGCAGCCCCCUGGGCCAAUACUGACGCUCAUGCACGAAAGCGUGGGGAGCAAAACAGGAUUAGAUACCCUGGUAGUCCACGCCCUAAAACGAUGUCAACUAGUUGUUGGGGAUUCAUUUCCUUAGUAACGUAGCUAACGCGUGAAGUUGACCGCCUGGGGAGUACGGUCGCAAAGAUUAAAACUCAAAUGAAUUGACGGGGUCAUAGCUG